The sequence is a small nuclear RNA, 112 nucleotides long. Its record names the gene U5. It matches the Rfam family "U5 spliceosomal RNA". From Rfam's summary of the family: U5 RNA is a component of both types of known spliceosome. The precise function of this molecule is unknown, though it is known that the 5' loop is required for splice site selection and p220 binding, and that both the 3' stem-loop and the Sm site are important for Sm protein binding and cap methylation. The record is from Ensembl.
AUACUCUGGUUUCCCUUCAGAUCAUAUAAAUCUUUUGCCUUUUACUAAAGAUUUCUGUGGACAGAGACAGACAGUGGUUGGGCCCAUUCUCCUCUUCCUCUCCUCCCAAGAC